AACGAACGCUGGCGGCAUGCCUAACACAUGCAAGUCGAACGAGACCUUCGGGUCUAGUGGCGCACGGGUGCGUAACGCGUGGGAACCUGCCCUUAGGUUCGGAGUAACUCCCCGAAAGGGGUGCUAAUACCGGAUAAUGUCUUCGGACCAAAGAUUUAUCGCCUUUGGAUGGGCCCGCGUUGGAUUAGCUAGUUGGUAGGGCAAAAGCCUACCAAGGCGACGAUCCAUAGCUGGUCUGAGAGGAUGAUCAGCCACACUGGGACUGAGACACGGCCCAGACUCCUACGGGAGGCAGCAGUGGGGAAUAUUGGACAAUGGGCGAAAGCCUGAUCCAGCAAUGCCGCGUGAGUGAUGAAGGCCUUAGGGUUGUAAAGCUCUUUUACCCGGGAUGAUAAUGACAGUACCGGGAGAAUAAGCUCCGGCUAACUCCGUG
RNAcentral lists this ribosomal RNA (433 nucleotides) under uncultured bacterium. RNAcentral's name for it is "partial 16S ribosomal RNA". It matches the Rfam family "Bacterial small subunit ribosomal RNA", at positions 29 to 507 of the family's 1533-position model. The record is from RNAcentral.